AGAAAUUAAAAUACAUGUUAUUAAAUAACACUUGGGUCAAGAAUAUUAUAUUGAGGAGAAAACCGGACUCCAAAAGUAUAUACCGUACGAUUUUAUUUAUAUAAAGUUAGCAAGCAAAAAAUCCAUUGUAAUAAAGGUUAGAAUAAAGACCAGGCACAGUGGCUCACACCUGUAAUGCCUGCAUUUUGGGAGGCCAAGGUGGGCAGAUCACUUGCGGUCAGGAAUUCAAGACCAGCCUGGCCAACAUGGUGAAACCCCAUCUCUACAAAAAAUACAAAAAAAUUAGCCAGGCAUGGCACACACCUGUAACCCCAGCUACUCAGGAGGCUGAGGCCUGGUAAUCGCUUGAACCUGGGAGGCAGAGGUUGCAGUGAGCCGAGAUUCCAUCAUUACACUCCAGCCUGGAUGACAAAGCAAGACUCCA
This 424-nucleotide long non-coding RNA is filed under the name Homo sapiens (human). Its description in RNAcentral is "HSALNT0065274". The record is from RNAcentral. Lineage: Eukaryota; Metazoa; Chordata; Mammalia; Primates; Hominidae.